GAAUCUUUUUCAAAUAUAUUGAAUUGUUUACCUUGAGGUAUGGGUCCAACAAGUUGGUUGUAGGAAAGGUUCAAGGAAGAAAGUGAUGUCAAGUCUACCAAUUACAAUUAAGAUUUUAAUAUGAAAUUAAUAAUAUAUUUCUAUCAAAAAUUAAAAUCAUUACUGUAUUUAUGAUUUAAGUUUAAUUCUCAAUUUAAUUUGUUUUUUUAUUAAUUCGUUGAAAAAUAUAUAUAUUGCCUUAUUAAUCGAAAAUGUUCUUAAAUUGCAAUAGAGGUUACUACACACCCUAAAUGUUUAGAAUGGUCAACGAAAAGUCGCUUUGUCGAAUUUGUUUGCAAACUUAGUUCUGAUUUUUAUUUAUAUUUUCUUGAAAUAUUAGGUAAUUAGAAGGAUUUCUGAUUUGCUACUUGAAAGUGAACUUGACAAAUCAAGUAAGUGAUCGAUGUACCUUCGGUGUUUUCAGACGCUAAAAAUUAACCUAAAUGUGAAAUUGUAUUUAGUACAUUAUAUAUAAUAUAUCUUGUCUUAUGAUUUGUUAAAAUAGGGUUGGGCAUGUAAAAAUGUAUAUGUAUGAUUUUCGUAUGUUGGAUUUAGAAUGUGAAUUAUGUAAAGUGUGAUUUAUGAUUUUGAAACCUAAAUAUGAUUUUCUUUACUGUAUGAUAUAUGAUUAUCUUUGUGAUGCAAAUAUAAAAUAUUUUGUUUCAAACGAAUAUGUUUUGAUAUGCACGAUAUGUGUUUUGAUGUGCACAAUAUGUGUUUUGAUGAAAAUGGAUAUUACAGUUUUGUGAAUUUGGGUAAUAAAAAAUGUCUCGUUUUGUCGCCUAGUAUGACUAUGUUAUGAUCCCGCCAAUGGAGAUUAAUUGUUGGCCAUGUCGAUAUGUAUUUUAUGAUUAGAGAUCAAUUUACAAAUCAUACCACUGGUUUCAGAAUAAUGGUUUUUGUAAUGUAUGUUUAAUGCAGUCAAUAAUUGCUUCUGAUAAACUUAUGACCCAUGUCAUUGAUGUUAAUUGUAGUUUAUGAUUAUGACCCACGCCACUGGGGUUAAUUGUGGUUUAGUUUAUGAUAAUGACCCAUGCCAUUGGGGUUAAUUGUGGUUUAUGAUUAUGACUUAUGCUACAAAGGUUAAGUGUGGUCAUAAUAAGUUACAAGUGACCAUUAAAAAAUAUGAAUAUUUGUGAAAUUAUGUUUCGUUUUAAGAUAUAGAAAUGAAAUUUUGGAAUAAUAUGAUUUUAAAUAAGAUUACCUAAAUUUUGUUUUGAUAUUUAUAUGAUUAAUGAUAUUUUGACUUAAAUGUUUUGAGCAUGUUUAAUCCGAUUGAAAGGAUGUUUGUUACUUAUUAAUUGGGUAUACUCACGCCUUCUCUCACAAUUUCACAGGUUGUGAAUUGGUUAGGCAUGUGGGAAAUUACAAGGAUUGACGUUUUGUAGGCUAGCAUGUGGAUUUGGAUUGCUUUAGGAUUAUUUAAAUGUUAUGAACUUUUAGUUAUCUUAAAUUAGUUGUUCAGGCCUUUAUCUCGAUAUCUUAGCUUUAUAGUAUUGGAAACGUACUUUUGAUCAUUGUCAAAUUAUAUCCCUUUUGAAUUAUGUUGAUAGACUUAGCUUUGUGAGUCAUUAUAUUUUCAGAAAUAUUUGAUCCUUUAGUUAGUUGUAUAAGAUAUAUGUUUU
Molecule: long non-coding RNA, 1664 nt
Filed under: Theobroma cacao (cacao)
Lineage: Eukaryota; Viridiplantae; Streptophyta; Magnoliopsida; Malvales; Malvaceae
Description: long non-coding RNA (TCAC_LNC006119)
Source: RNAcentral